This is a small nuclear RNA of Suncus etruscus (white-toothed pygmy shrew), 134 nucleotides long. RefSeq annotates it as U11 spliceosomal RNA. NCBI's taxonomy places the organism in Eukaryota, Metazoa, Chordata, Mammalia, Eulipotyphla, Soricidae. The transcript has a single exon. The record is from RefSeq and is a predicted model, not a curated record.
AAAAAGGGCUUCUGUCGUGACUGGCACACGUCGGGCAGCUCUUUUGUCCUGCAUGCGGAAUUGACAUCAAGAGAUUACGGAAGCAUAAUUUUUGAACUCCUGGGCAGCUGGUGAUCGUUGGUCCUGGUGCCCUG